Molecule: ribosomal RNA, 880 nt
Filed under: uncultured bacterium
Lineage: Bacteria
Description: bacterial SSU rRNA
Rfam family: Bacterial small subunit ribosomal RNA
Source: RNAcentral
AGAGUUUGAUCAUGGCUCAGGACGAACGCUGGCGGCGUGCUUAACACAUGCAAGUCGAGCGAUGAAACACCUUCGGGUGUGAAUUAGCGGCGAACGGGUGAGGAACACGUGAAGAAUCUGCCUUCAACUCUGGGAUAACUCCGGGAAACCGGGGCUAAUACCGGAUAUGAGCCUCGAUCGCAUGAUUGGGGCUGGAAAGUUUUUCGGUUGAAGAUGACUUCGCGGCCUAUCAGCUUGUUGGUGAGGUAAUGGCUCACCAAGGCGACGACGGGUAGCCGGCCUGAGAGGGCGACCGGCCACACUGGGACUGAGACACGGCCCAGACUCCUACGGGAGGCAGCAGUGGGGAAUAUUGGGCAAUGGAGGAAACUCUGACCCAGCGACGCCGCGUGAGGGAUGAAGGCCUUCGGGUUGUAAACCUCUUUCAGUAGGGAAGAAGCGAAAGUGACGGUACCUACAGAAGAAGCACCGGCUAACUAUGUGCCAGCAGCCGCGGUAAUACAUAGGGUGCAAGCGUUGUCCGGAAUUAUUGGGCGUAAAGAGCUCGUAGGUGGUUCGAUACGUCGGAUGUGAAAAUCAGGGGCUCAACCCCUGACCUGCAUCCGAUACGGUCGAGCUAGAGUUUGGUAGGGGAGACUGGAAUUCCUGGUGUAGCGGUGGAAUGCGCAGAUAUCAGGAGGAACACCGAUGGCGAAGGCAGGUCUCUGGGCCAAUACUGACACUGAGGAGCGAAAGCGUGGGGAGCGAACAGGAUUAGAUACCCUGGUAGUCCACGCCGUAAACGGUGGGCGCUAGUUGUGCGAACCUUCCACGGUUUGUGCGACGCAGCUAACGCAUUAAGCGCCCCGCCUGGGGGAGUACGAUCGCAAGAUUAAAACUC